GACGAACGCUGGCGGCGUGCUUAACACAUGCAAGUCGAACGGAAAGGCCCUUCGGGGUACUCGAGUGGCGAACGGGUGAGUAACACGUGGGUGAUCUGCCCUGCACUUUGGGAUAAGCCUGGGAAACUGGGUCUAAUACCGAAUAGGACCACGCGCUUCAUGGUGUGUGGUGGAAAGCUUUUGCGGUGUGGGAUGGGCCCGAGGCCUAUCAGCUUGUUGGUGAGGUAAUGGCCUACCAAGGCGACGACGGGUAGCCGGCCUGAGAGGGUGACCGGCCACACUGGGACUGAGAUACGGCCCAGACUCCUACGGGAGGCAGCAGUGGGGAAUAUUGCACAAUGGGCGCAAGCCUGAUGCAGCGACGCCGCGUGAGGGAUGACGGCCUUCGGGUUGUAAACCUCUUUCAAUAGGGACGAAGCGCAAGUGACGGUACCUAUAGAAGAAGCACCGGCCAACUACGUG
RNAcentral lists this ribosomal RNA (462 nucleotides) under uncultured bacterium. RNAcentral's name for it is "partial 16S ribosomal RNA". It matches the Rfam family "Bacterial small subunit ribosomal RNA", at positions 28 to 507 of the family's 1533-position model. The record is from RNAcentral.